GACACGCUGGCGGUGCGCUUCAGCUGCAAGUCGAGCGAAGCUUUCAGUAGUUUACUACAGAAAAUGACUGAGCGGCGAACGGGUGAGUAACGCGUGAGCAAUCUACCUUAGUUACAGGGAUAGCCCGAGGAAACUCGGAUUAAUACCUGAUAUUCUUUAUUUCUCGCAUGAGAAUAAAAGGAAAGGUCAGCCGAACUAAGAUGAGCUCGCGUUCUAUCAGCUAGUUGGUGAGGUAAAAGCUCACCAAGGCUACGACGGAUAGCUGGUCUGAGAGGACGAUCAGCCACACUGGGACUGAGACACGGCCCAGACUCCUACGGGAGGCUGCAGCAGGGAAUAUUGCGCAAUGAGCGAAAGCUUGACGCAGCAACACCGCGUGUGGGAUGACGGAUCUAGGUUUGUAAACCACUUUCAGGAGGGAAGAAAAUGACGGUACCUCCACAAGAAGCCCCGGUCAAAUACGUGCCAGCAGCCGCGGUAAUACGUAAGGGGCGAGCGUUGUCCGGAUUUAUUGGGCGUUAAGAGCUCGUAGGCGGUUCAACAAGUCGGUCGUGAAAGUUCAGGGGUCAAACCUGAAAUGUCGAUCGAUACUGUUGUGACUAAGAUACGGGCAAGGUGAGUGGCAUUCCGAGUGUAACGGUGAAUGCGUACAUUUUCCGAAGACACCAAUACGAAAGGGGUCCUGGGCCGUUAUGAAGCUAGGAGGAAAGUAGGGACAACAGG
Molecule: ribosomal RNA, 723 nt
Filed under: uncultured bacterium
Lineage: Bacteria
Description: bacterial SSU rRNA
Rfam family: Bacterial small subunit ribosomal RNA
Source: RNAcentral